Molecule: ribosomal RNA, 497 nt
Filed under: uncultured bacterium
Lineage: Bacteria
Description: partial 16S ribosomal RNA
Rfam family: Bacterial small subunit ribosomal RNA
Source: RNAcentral
GAUGAACGCUGGCGGCGUGCCUAAUACAUGCAAGUCGAGCGAACGGACGAGAAGCUUGCUUCUCUGAUGUUAGCGGCGGACGGGUGAGUAACACGUGGAUAACCUACCUAUAAGACUGGGAUAACUUCGGGAAACCGGAGCUAAUACCGGAUAAUAUUUUGAACCGCAUGGUUCAAAAGUGAAAGACGGUCUUGCUGUCACUUAUAGAUGGAUCCGCGCUGCAUUAGCUAGUUGGUAAGGUAACGGCUUACCAAGGCAACGAUGCAUAGCCGACCUGAGAGGGUGAGCGGCCACACUGGAACUGAGACAGGGUCCAGCCUCCUCGGGGAGGCAGCAGUGGGGAUUUUUCGGCAAGGGGCGAAAGCCUGCGGGAGCAACGCCGGGGGAGUGAUGAAGGUCUUCGGUUGGUAAACCUUUUUUAUUAGGAAAAAAAAUAUGUGAAAUAAUGUGGCCACGUCUUGACGGUCCCAAAACAAAAAGCCACGGCUAACUCCGUC